CAUAGGUUAAUGAGGCGAACCGGGGGAACUGAAACAUCUAAGUACCCCGAGGAAAAGAAAUCAACCGAGAUUCCCCCAGUAGCGGCGAGCGAACGGGGAGCAGCCCAGAGCCUGAAUCAGUGUGUGUGUUAGUGGAAGCGUCUGGAAAGGCGCGCGAUACAGGGUGACAGCCCCGUACACAAAAAUGCACAUGCUGUGAGCUCGAUGAGUAGGGCGGGACACGUGGUAUCCUGUCUGAAUAUGGGGGGACCAUCCUCCAAGGCUAAAUACUCCUGACUGACCGAUAGUGAACCAGUACCGUGAGGGAAAGGCGAAAAGAACCCCGGCGAGGGGAGUGAAAAAGAACCUGAAACCGUGUACGUACAAGCAGUGGGAGCACGCUUAGGCGUGUGACUGCGUACCUUUUGUAUAAUGGGUCAGCGACUUAUAUUCUGUAGCAAGGUUAACCGAAUAGGGGAGCCGAAGGGAAACCGAGUCUUAACUGGGCGUUAAGUUGCAGGGUAUAGACCCGAAACCCGGUGAUCUAGCCAUGGGCAGGUUGAAGGUUGGGUAACACUAACUGGAGGACCGAACCGACUAAUGUUGAAAAAUUAGCGGAUGACUUGUGGCUGGGGGUGAAAGGCCAAUCAAACCGGGAGAUAGCUGGUUCUCCCCGAAAGCUAUUUAGGUAGCGCCUCGUGAAUUCAUCUCCGGGGGUAGAGCACUGUUUCGGCAAGGGGGUCAUCCCGACUUACCAACCCGAUGCAAACUGCGAAUACCGGAGAAUGUUAUCACGGGAGACACACGGCGGGUGCUAACGUCCGUCGUGAAGAGGGAAACAACCCAGACCGCCAGCUAAGGUCCCAAAGUCAUGGUUAAGUGGGAAACGAUGUGGGAAGGCCCAGACAGCCAGGAUGUUGGCUUAGAAGCAGCCAUCAUUUAAAGAAAGCGUAAUAGCUCACUGGUCGAGUCGGCCUGCGCGGAAGAUGUAACGGGGCUAAACCAUGCACCGAAGCUGCGGCAGCGACGCUUAUGCGUUGUUGGGUAGGGGAGCGUUCUGUAAGCCUGUGAAGGUGUGCUGUGAGGCAUGCUGGAGGUAUCAGAAGUGCGAAUGCUGACAUAAGUAACGAUAAAGCGGGUGAAAAGCCCGCUCGCCGGAAGACCAAGGGUUCCUGUCCAACGUUAAUCGGGGCAGGGUGAGUCGACCCCUAAGGCGAGGCCGAAAGGCGUAGUCGAUGGGAAACAGGUUAAUAUUCCUGUACUUGGUGUUACUGCGAAGGGGGGACGGAGAAGGCUAUGUUGGCCGGGCGACGGUUGUCCCGGUUUAAGCGUGUAGGCUGGUUUUCCAGGCAAAUCCGGAAAAUCAAGGCUGAGGCGUGAUGACGAGGCACUACGGUGCUGAAGCAACAAAUGCCCUGCUUCCAGGAAAAGCCUCUAAGCAUCAGGUAACAUCAAAUCGUACCCCAAACCGACACAGGUGGUCAGGUAGAGAAUACCAAGGCGCUUGAGAGAACUCGGGUGAAGGAACUAGGCAAAAUGGUGCCGUAACUUCGGGAGAAGGCACGCUGAUAUGUAGGUGAAGUCCCUCGCGGAUGGAGCUGAAAUCAGUCGAAGAUACCAGCUGGCUGCAACUGUUUAUUAAAAACACAGCACUGUGCAAACACGAAAGUGGACGUAUACGGUGUGACGCCUGCCCGGUGCCGGAAGGUUAAUUGAUGGGGUCAGCGCAAGCGAAGCUCUUGAUCGAAGCCCCGGUAAACGGCGGCCGUAACUAUAACGGUCCUAAGGUAGCGAAAUUCCUUGUCGGGUAAGUUCCGACCUGCACGAAUGGCGUAAUGAUGGCCAGGCUGUCUCCACCCGAGACUCAGUGAAAUUGAACUCGCUGUGAAGAUGCAGUGUACCCGCGGCAAGACGGAAAGACCCCGUGAACCUUUACUAUAGCUUGACACUGAACAUUGAGCCUUGAUGUGUAGGAUAGGUGGGAGGCUUUGAAGUGUGGACGCCAGUCUGCAUGGAGCCGACCUUGAAAUACCACCCUUUAAUGUUU
Molecule: ribosomal RNA, 2026 nt
Filed under: Escherichia coli
Lineage: Bacteria; Pseudomonadati; Pseudomonadota; Gammaproteobacteria; Enterobacterales; Enterobacteriaceae
Description: partial 23S ribosomal RNA
Rfam family: Bacterial large subunit ribosomal RNA
Source: RNAcentral